RNAcentral lists this ribosomal RNA (511 nucleotides) under Nakaseomyces glabratus. RNAcentral describes it as "eukaryotic LSU rRNA". It matches the Rfam family "Eukaryotic large subunit ribosomal RNA", at positions 167 to 656 of the family's 3401-position model. Lineage: Eukaryota; Fungi; Ascomycota; Saccharomycetes; Saccharomycetales; Saccharomycetaceae. The record is from RNAcentral.
UGGGACUGUACUUUGAAAGAAGGGAAGGGGCAGGACGUCAUGGAGGGUGAGAAUCCCGUGUGGCGAGGGUGUCAGUUCUUUGUAAAGGGUGCUCGAUCCUGUUCCAGUAAGUAUGGGAAUGCAGCUCUAAGUGGGUGGUAAAUUCCAUCUAAAGCUAAAUACAGGCGAGAGACCGAUAGCGAACAAGUACAGUGAUGGAAAGAUGAAAAGAACUUUGAAAAGAGAGUGAAAAAGUACGUGAAAUUGUUGAAAGGGAAAGGGCAUUUGAUCAGACAUGGUGUUUUGCGCCCCUUGCCUCUCGUGGGCUUGGGACUCUCGCAGCUUCACUGGGCCAGCAUCGGGUUUUGGCGGCCGGAAAAAACUUUAUUGAAAUGUGGCUCUGCCGCCCUCGGUGUAAAGUGUUAUAGCCCCUGGGGAAUUACGGGCCCAGCCCGGGGACCCGAGGACUUGCGAAUACUUUGUUAUCCUAGGGAUGCUGGCCAUAAUGGGGUUAUAUGCCCGCCCCGUCUUU